GGGCCGUAACUAGGGUUUUAAUUCAUGGGAGGCAGGGGUUUGGGAUUUCCGCCGAUUUUUUUCCCACACUUAAAUGGCUAAAAAUACCCCGUUUUCCUUCAAUUUCCUUACUUUAAGACUCAUCAGUAUUGCUUGAAUUUUGAAGCAGUUUUUAUGCAAAACUGAGUUUGCUGUUCGGGGUGAGCCAAAGCUCCGUCUUGACGGCCGUAUUUUGAACUAUAAUUAUUUACAUUAAAUAUAUUGUGACCGCUGAUUUUUUUUCUCUCAAAAUAAUAAAAUGGCUAACAAAAAAUAACCGUUUUCCUUCGAUUUCCUUACUUUAAGACUCAUCAGUAAUGCUUGAACCUGGAAGUAAUUUGUUUUGCAAACAACUUUUAUCUGUAUUUAAAGAUAUUUUUGUUAGAAA
Molecule: long non-coding RNA, 406 nt
Filed under: Mytilus galloprovincialis (Mediterranean mussel)
Lineage: Eukaryota; Metazoa; Mollusca; Bivalvia; Mytilida; Mytilidae
Source: RNAcentral